Molecule: long non-coding RNA, 405 nt
Organism: Rhea pennata
Lineage: Eukaryota; Metazoa; Chordata; Aves; Rheiformes; Rheidae
Exons: 4
Source: RefSeq, a predicted model, not a curated record
GAUACAGCUGUACUGUCGCCACUUAAAUAAAUCCCAAAGGCUAGAAGAUUGCUAAAGCCAAGCAAACCAUAUCUUGCUACUUUUCCACUCCACCGUUGAACAGGCUGAAAAAACUUGCUGAAGGACAGAAACGGAGUCUAUGCCUCUCUGAGGAUAUAAAGAGAAAUGAUUUAAUACACACUUCACAUGGACUUCAGGAAAUUUAAAAGCAUUGUGAAAAGAAAUCAGGAAGAUGGUGUUUGCAUUAAGAAGCCUACAGUUCAAAUAGAGAAGGCAGACACAGAGCAGGAGAGGAGCAAGAGCACUGAGAGACUAAAGAUCUGUGAGAGUAAGAAUUGGUUUCUCAGGGCAUACGCACAGACCUGGCCUGAACUUUGUCUCAGCCGAAUCCUCCAAGCACGACCA